CACCUUCGGGUGGCGAGUAAAGUGGCAAACGGGUGAGUAACACGUGGGCAAUUUGCCCUCGGGUUGGGGAUAACAUUUCUAACGAAGUGCUAAUACCGAAUGACAAGGCGAGUUUAUGACUCGUUUUUAAAGGUGGCCUCUACUUGUAAGCUGCCGCCUGGGGAUGAGCCCGCGUCGUAUUAGCUUGUUGGUGGGGUAACGGCCUACCAAGGCGACGAUGCGCAGCCGGCCUGAGAGGGUGAACGGCCACACUGGAACUGAGACAAGGUCCAGUCUCCUACGGGAGCCAGCAGUCUAGAAAUUUGCACAAUCGCCGAAAGGCGGAUGCAGCGACACCACGUGGAGGAUGAAGCCGUUCGCGGUGUAAACUCCUGUCAGGAGGGAAGAAGGUGCGGAUGUUAAUACCACCCGCUACUUGACGGUACCUCCAGAGGAAGCUCCGGCUAACUACGUGCCAGCAGCCGCGGUAAUACGUAGGGAGCGAGCGUUGUUCGGAUUUACUGGGCGUAAAGAGCACGUAGGCGGGUAUGCAAGUCGGUUGUGAAAUCCUCUGGCUCAACCAGAGAACUGCAAUCGAAACUGCAUACCUUGAGUCCAACAGAGGGAAUCGGAAUCCAAGGUGUAGCGGUGAAAUGCGUAGAUAUCUUGGAGAACAUCAGUGGCGAAGGCGGAUUCCUGGGUUGGUACUGACGCUGAGGUGCGAAAGCUAAGGUAGCGAACAGGAUUAGAUACCCUGGUAGUCUUAGCCGUAAACGAUGGGUACUAGGUGUUGGGGGACAUUGNCCCCCUCAGUGC
This 795-nucleotide ribosomal RNA is filed under the name uncultured bacterium. RNAcentral's name for it is "SSU rRNA". It matches the Rfam family "Bacterial small subunit ribosomal RNA", at positions 75 to 846 of the family's 1533-position model. The record is from RNAcentral.